Equus caballus (horse) is the source of this 1222-nucleotide long non-coding RNA. Lineage: Eukaryota; Metazoa; Chordata; Mammalia; Perissodactyla; Equidae. The record is from Ensembl.
GUUUUCCCAGGGCCCCGGACCGGAAAUAGCUUGUCUCUAAAGAGUCAGAUGCUUUGGCGCGACCACUUUUCUUCUUUGUGGGCCGGCGUUUGCGUGUUUUUCUUUUUACACAACCGGGAAUAUCGGAGUAACAUUGUCUUUCUCUGUUUCCCUAGAUUUGCCAGAAAAUCUGCAAAGUCGUAUAGCCACAGCACGCGCAAAAGAAGAAAUCUUGAACUGAAGUGAUCGGGGAACCAAGGAUCCUCCUUCCCGCGGACCAGGACAGGCCAGAACUUGAAAGUUUCCAAGGAAGAGGAUGCUUGAGCUGAGUUAUUUAAAGAAGAAUAAAGUUUCCAAUUGAAGAGGUUGAAGAAAAUUCCAUGUAAAGGAAAUAGAAUGUUUAAAAGCAGGAAGACAUAAGAAAAUAUUUCCAGGCUCAGGAGUCUGGGGAGUGUGUGGCAGAGUAAUAGGAGAUGAGCCUGGGUGAGCAGGGGCCUGAUGGUGAAGGGCCUUGUAUUUCAUUCUAAGAAGCUAAUGCUUGAUCAUGUAGCCAGUGAAGGGUUUUGAUCAGGAGAGUAGCAUGAUUAGAUUUGUAUGUCCAUUAAACCACUCUGGCUUAAGUGGGAAGGUUGGACUGGAAGGAGUUCAAAUUGGAGUCAUGAAGUUAAUGUAAUAGUUCAGUCAUAAAAUAAAGACCUGAACCUAGCAGUAUCAGUGGCAAUAAAUCAAUUACAGAGAUGUUAUGGAGAAAGAAUUGACAGGACUUAGUGACUAAUUGGAUGUUUUUGCCUUAUUGUCUUGUUGACAGAUCAGUAAUGGCCUCUUUUAUUAAUGCCUAUAUCAUCAGCAGUAAAUAUUUAUUCAGCAUCUAUUCUGUGUUAGAGAGCAACAUUCUACACUAAAGAAACCCUACACUCCACCCAUGAUUUCUAUCAGUAUAGUGCCACUGAAUCUUUCUAUCCAGGUAAGGCAUUGUCCAGUAAUGCUCUAAUUUUUUAAAAAUGUAGGAACCUAUGCAAUAUAUAUUUAGUGAGAGAUUGUCAGAUAUAAUGUGACAAAAUAAAAUCUUAAAUUUUUAUACUUUCAGAAACAUACAUAUUAUUAUCUUACUGGAUUUUAAUAACAGAUUUGGGAGGUACUCCUCCUUCCUAGUAGAUAAAGAAGACAAGGGCCACGUGGGGAUAGAGUCAGAACUAGAAUCAUGGUAUUCUGGCACCAGUCCAGUGUUCUUUACACUAAAGAU